AUGGACGAAAGUCUGAUGGAGCAACGCCGCGUGAGUGAAGAAGGGUUUCGGCUCGUAAAACUCUGUUGUUAAAGAAGAACAUAUCUGAGAGUAACUGUUCAGGUAUUGACGGUAUUUAACCAGAAAGCCACGGCUAACUACGUGCCAGCAGCCGCGGUAAUACGUAGGUGGCAAGCGUUGUCCGGAUUUAUUGGGCGUAAAGCGAGCGCAGGCGGUUUUUUAAGUCUGAUGUGAAAGCCUUCGGCUUAACCGAAGAAGUGCAUCGGAAACUGGGAAACUUGAGUGCAGAAGAGGACAGUGGAACUCCAUGUGUAGCGGUGAAAUGCGUAGAUAUAUGGAAGAACACCAGUGGCGAAGGCGGCUGUCUGGUCUGUAACUGACGCUGAGGCUCGAAAGUAUGGGUAGCAAACAGGAUUAGAUACCCUGGUAGUCCAUACCGUAAACGAUGAAUGCUAAGUGUUGGAGGGUUUCCGCCCUUCAGUGCUGCAGCUAACGCAUUAAGCAUUCCGCCUGGGGAGUACGGCCGCAAGGCUGAAACUCAAAGGAAUUGACGGGGGCCCGCACAAGCGGUGGAGCAUGUGGUUUAAUUCGAAGCUACGCGAAGAACCUUACCAGGUCUUGACAUACUAUGCAAAUCUAAGAGAUUAGACGUUCCCUUCGGGGACAUGGAUACAGGUGGUGCAUGGUUGUCGUCAGCUCGUGUCGUGAGAUGUUGGG
Molecule: ribosomal RNA, 717 nt
Filed under: Lactiplantibacillus plantarum
Lineage: Bacteria; Bacillati; Bacillota; Bacilli; Lactobacillales; Lactobacillaceae
Description: bacterial SSU rRNA
Rfam family: Bacterial small subunit ribosomal RNA
Source: RNAcentral